UUUCCGUAGGUGAACCUGCGGAAGGAUCAUUAUUGAAAAAGACAUGACGCCCCGUUUUUUCGUAAAAUGGGUUCAAUACCCACAACCGUGUAUACCUUACCUUUUGUUGCUUUGGCAGGCCGCCUCCGGGCGUUGGCUUCGGCUGACAGCGCCUGCCAGAGGACCCAAACUCCGUGUUUAGUGAUGUCUGAGUAAUAUAUAAUAUUUUAAAACUUUCAACAACGGAUCUCUUGGUUCUG
This 239-nucleotide unclassified non-coding RNA is filed under the name plant metagenome. Its description in RNAcentral is "partial contains small subunit ribosomal RNA, internal transcribed spacer 1, and 5.8S ribosomal RNA". The record is from RNAcentral.